Molecule: long non-coding RNA, 424 nt
Organism: Alosa sapidissima (American shad)
Lineage: Eukaryota; Metazoa; Chordata; Actinopteri; Clupeiformes; Clupeidae
Exons: 2
Source: RefSeq, a predicted model, not a curated record
UGCUUUUAUUUUCCCUUCCAACUAGCUGAGGCCCCCCUGGCACCCCCUCGCGGCCCCCACUUUGAAAACCACUGCACUAGCCUACCUACUCAAGGAGAGAGAUCAUUUCCCCUGUGUGUGUAUCCACACCAAGUUUUUCUACCAUAACGUCCUCCCAACUCUACACUAUCCUAAAUGCAUGACAGCAGGCUAUUAACAUUUUUCUGUAAACACAUUAACAAAAUCAACUUAAUGCGGAGCUAUACACACGCACGUUCGUCUGUGGUAACAGUUGCAGCAUUGGAAUACUGUUUAAUGUAGGUACAGCGCAGAGUAGACUAUAGCAAGGAAAUUGUCAAUACUAUAGGAGUGCCUACAUACAGUAAAUAGAUAGUCGAAGUAUGGUAGGUGGAGAAGUGGUAGAAGAGGUAGAAGUAUGGUAGGA